This 501-nucleotide ribosomal RNA is filed under the name uncultured bacterium. RNAcentral's name for it is "bacterial SSU rRNA". It matches the Rfam family "Bacterial small subunit ribosomal RNA", at positions 28 to 507 of the family's 1533-position model. The record is from RNAcentral.
GAUGAACGCUAGCGACAGGCUUAACACAUGCAAGUCGAGGGGCAUCGGGACGUAGCAAUACGCUGCCGGCGACCGGCGGAUGGGUGAGUAACGCGUAUGCAACCUGCCCACGACAGGGGGACAGCCCGUUGAAAGACGGAUUAAUACCCCAUAAAACAGGGGUUCCGCAUGGGACUAUUUGUUAAAGGUUUUCCGCGAGGGGGAUCCGGUUGUGGAUGGGCAUGCGUUCCAUUAGGCAGUUGGUGGGGUAACGGCUCACCAAACCGACGAUGGAUAGGGGAACCGGGAGGUUGGUCCCCCCACACUGGUACUGAGACACGGACCAGACUCCUACGGGAGGCAGCAGUGAGGAAUAUUGGUCAAUGGGCGAGAGCCUGAACCAGCCAAGUCGCGUGAAGGAAGAAGGAUCUAUGGUUCGUAAACUUCUUUUGCAGGGGAAUAAAGUGCAGGACGUGUCCUGUUUUGUAUGUACCCUGAGAAUAAGGAUCGGCUAACUCCGUG